GAUGAACGCUGGCGGCGUGCCUAAUACAUGCAAGUCGAGCGAACAGACGAGGAGCUUGCUCCUCUGACGUUAGCGGCGGACGGGUGAGUAACACGUGGAUAACCUACCUAUAAGACUGGGAGAACUUCGGGAAACCGGAGCUAAUACCGGAUAAUAUAUUGAACCGGAUGGUUCAAUAGUGAAAGACGGUUUUGCUGAUACAUAUAGAUGGAUCCGCGCCGCAUUAGCUAGUUGGUAAGGGAACGGCUUACCAAGGCAACGAUGCGUAGCCGACCUGAGAGGGUGAUCGGCCACACUGGAACUGAGACACGGUCCAGACUCCUACGGGAGGCAGCAGUAGGGAAUCUUCCGCAAUGGGCGAAAGCCUGACGGAGCAACGCCGCGUGAGUGAUGAAGGUCUUCGGAUCGUAAAACUCUGUUAUUAGGGAAGAACAAAUGUGUAAGUAACUAUGCACGUCUUGACGGUACCUAAUCAGAAAGCCACGGCUAACUACGUG
RNAcentral lists this ribosomal RNA (497 nucleotides) under uncultured bacterium. Its description in RNAcentral is "partial 16S ribosomal RNA". It matches the Rfam family "Bacterial small subunit ribosomal RNA", at positions 28 to 507 of the family's 1533-position model. The record is from RNAcentral.